GAGUGAAGCUGCUUUGGCGUAUCCUGGUUCAGGAUGCCUCUGUCCCUCUGUGAGAAGCAGGGUUCCACUUCAUUAUCUCCAUAAUCAAACCUGGGGCUGCAUAAGAAGAGCACAACCACUCUCCAAGUGAUUUAACAGGAUGCUUUAAUGAUGUAUUGAGAAUGAACAUUGAUCCCAGGUGAGCAAAGCAAGGCUUAAAGAGCUAAGGAGACUGUGGGAAUGAAGGUUUCGAAGUGGUCUGAAUGGAGAAAGAAGCGGUGGGAGAGCUGAGUCAUCAUGCAGCACACGGCAAGGUAGCAGAAAACCCUGGAGAACAACAGCAGCCUGCCCCAGAGUCAGCCGUGAGCGCUGAUUUAGUUUCAGGAAAACAAUAACACUUUGUCCCAUUAAAUUAAUGUUGUUAAUUUGAAGUUUAU
RNAcentral lists this long non-coding RNA (416 nucleotides) under Homo sapiens (human). Its description in RNAcentral is "HSALNT0094545". Lineage: Eukaryota; Metazoa; Chordata; Mammalia; Primates; Hominidae. The record is from RNAcentral.